GUUCUCUCCCCCAGAGUGAUGACUUCAGGACAUAGAGUCGUGAGAGUUCUCUCCCCCAGAGGGAUGACUUCAGGACACAGAGUCGUGAGAGUUCUCUCCCCCAGAGGGAUGACUUCAGGACACAGAUUUGGGGGGGUUCUCUCCCACAGAUAGGGGAUGACUUCAGGACACAGAGUUGGGAGAGUUCUCUCCCACAGAUAGGUGAUGACUUCAGGACACAGAUUUGGGAGGGUUCUCUCCCACAGAUAGGUGAUGACUUCAGGACACAGAGUCGGGAGAGUUCCUUACCACAGAGUGAUGACUUCAGGACACAGAUUUGGGAGAGUUCUCUCCCACAGAUAGGUGAUGACUUCAGGACACAGAGUCGGGAGAGUUCUCUCCCACAGAUAGGUGAUUGAGGGUUUGGUAGGUUUUCUUGGCAAGCAUUCUUUUAUCAGAAUAAUGAAUUUUCGUUAAUAUAGCCCAUUAUUCAUAAAUUAAGACUUGUUCAUAUAUCAUUGCCAGUGAUGCAAUGCUUUCUAAACAGUACAAAAAGAUAAGAAUUUUUAACAUUACCGACACUGGUAGGGAGAUUAUGAUUCUUUAGUGUGAGUUUAAAUUUUUCAAAAUAUGGAAGGACUCCUUGUGAAAUAGGGAGACAUCACAAUCAGAUCAAAAACAGACGGAAAGAAUGUCCUGUUUGUUUUAUCAUGGACAAAUAUUUCAGGGAGUAACAAUUUGCUCUUACUAUGUACUUGGAUUCAGAAGUAGAUGGCUUGAGCAUUGAAACCAGUGACUGACAUGUUGUGUGUUUCAGUUUGUCCAUGGUCUGAGAUUAUAAGUUGAUUUAUUAUUAAUGGUCCUUGAGACACUUUUAACAGUUAUUUACCUUGCAUUAUUCCUGUAAUUUGAUACAUGUACAUACAAAAAAUCAUUGUCUUUUUUUUGAGUUAAGUCAUCUUUACAAUUUUAGGUUAUUCAAAAAUUGAAAUAUUUACAGUAAAAUCAAUUAAGAUAAGAUGAACAAGACUAUACAGUAGAGGUACAGCUAUAAGGAUAUUCAGAGGGAGAGUUCAUUAAUUACUCUGAGGGAGAUUUCAUUAGUUCAUUAAUUACUCUGAGGGAGAUUUCAUUAGUUCAUUAACUACUCUGAGGCAGAGUACAUUAGUUCAUUAACUACUCUGAGGGAGAGUUCAUUAGUUCAUUAACUACUCUGAGGGAGAGUUCAUUAGUUCAUUAACUACUCUGAGGCAGAGUUCAUUAGUUCAUUAACUUCUCCAUUGUUACAAUUCAUUUGUAUGAUUGUUGAUAUGACAGUAUGUUGGGUUUAUAUGUUCAGUGUGUAUUGACAGUCAGCACAUGUUGUUUUGCAUUUGAAAAUAAAACUAUUUUAUUGUA
Long non-coding RNA from Mizuhopecten yessoensis (Yesso scallop), 1377 nucleotides. RefSeq lists it as uncharacterized. The transcript has 2 exons. The record is from RefSeq and is a predicted model, not a curated record. NCBI's taxonomy places the organism in Eukaryota, Metazoa, Mollusca, Bivalvia, Pectinida, Pectinidae.